GGGGCUGUAGCUCAGUGGUGGAGUGCAUGCCUGUCAUGCUUGAGGCACUGGGUUUGAUCCUUAGCACCA
This 69-nucleotide transfer RNA is filed under the name Ictidomys tridecemlineatus (thirteen-lined ground squirrel). Its description in RNAcentral is "Spermophilus tridecemlineatus (thirteen-lined ground squirrel) tRNA". It matches the Rfam family "tRNA". From Rfam's summary of the family: Transfer RNA (tRNA) molecules are approximately 80 nucleotides in length. Their secondary structure includes four short double-helical elements and three loops (D, anti-codon, and T loops). Further hydrogen bonds mediate the characteristic L-shaped molecular structure. tRNAs have two regions of fundamental functional importance: the anti-codon, which is responsible for specific mRNA codon recognition, and the 3' end, to which the tRNAs corresponding amino acid is attached (by aminoacyl-tRNA synthetases). tRNAs cope with the degeneracy of the genetic code in two manners: having more than one tRNA (with a specific anti-codon) for a particular amino acid; and 'wobble' base-pairing, i.e. permitting non-standard base-pairing at the 3rd anti-codon position. Lineage: Eukaryota; Metazoa; Chordata; Mammalia; Rodentia; Sciuridae. The record is from Rfam by way of RNAcentral.